AUUUUCUUAAUUAUCUCCCCUUUGGUGGAAGCUUGGUCUUUCGUUUGAAACACAUCAAAGGCAAUAUCAUUACAGAUGCCUUAUCAAGUGUUUCAUAAGUAUGUUUUGUUAUUUUGUUGUUGCUUUGAUUGAUGUAUAUCUGUAUAUGUGUAUUAGAGAAUUUAAGUUUUCAUUGUCAUUCAAACCUUUUUGAAGGGGAGGUGUUGUGUACUACUCGCACUCAAUUGACACCUGCGACCUAGAGGGUUCUAGAUCUCAUGUUUACUUCUUUGGUAGAAAUAUGACGUAAUAUUUGCAUUAUUGUUUGUCAAGAUUGUACUAGAAAAUUCAUUCUUAUUAUAAAUACACUCUGAAUUUUUUGAUACUCGUAGACAAGCACUUUUAAUAGGCAUUUGGAUUAUAAUUGGGAAUUGGGAUUUUUGAAUUAACUAUUUUGUGUGUGUAGACUCAGUUCGGCAUGGAUUUUAAUAUUUAUUGUUCAACUAUCUUUUCAGCCCCAAAAUGAAGGGUUCUUAGGAUGAGGGGUCAUGGAAGUUACAAUUUCCAGUCUCCUUCGCCUAUAAAUGCUACACACCAAAUUUGCUCAAGAUUGGACCAGUAGUUUCUGGGAAGAAGUUGUUAACGGACGUUGCACGACGCAUGACGCCGGACGCAGACCAAUUGCAAUAGGUCACCCGAGUUUACUCAGGUGAUCUAAAAAAAUUGAUAAACUAUUGAUAGUGAAUACGUUUAUAUUUUCAACAGAUAAUCAAAUAUUUAUAAUGAAAAAAAAAAUGUUGACAAGGGCAAUAAUUCCUAUGCUGGUAUUUCCUCUAUUGUAUGUCAAUUAUACAAUGAUUUCCCUAAAAUCUACAAUCAAUCUAUACAUGUCUAUACAUUAUGAGUUUUUGUAAGCUGUUGAUAUUAAAACAAAUGUCAAUUUAGCAAUUUUUAUUUAUCUAUUUUUAUUAUUCUGUUUCACGAAAAUGUAUGAUUUUCUGAUGUUGAUCUAUAGCUUUGGUUUUAUAUGUCUGACAUCUUAAAAAGGUGGCAACAUACAUAUUCUAUUUAGUUAUUGAUCAAAUUAAACUAUAUUGAGUGGAAAUUAGUACAGUUUUUCCACUUUCAAUCAUUAAAUUCUCGUAGAACUACUUGUAUGAUCUAAGGUUCCUAGCAUUGUCAUGUCUUUAUAAAUCAUCACCGAGAGAUGCUGUGAGGUGAUGCAGUAAAUAUAUAUCCAGAUCGUCUAAUUGUUUUUGUUUUAUUUGGGGGAUGGUGUUAUAUUUUUUUCGAUUUAUCUCUCGUUGAAAAAAGAAGAAAUUUUUAGAAAAAAAUAUUGCGAAUUCAAUGGUCGUUAUAACUAUCAGAUCUGCAAACGCAGCCUGUCGUUAGGUCGAUUGUUGUCUGACGUGUUUCAUAUUGUUUCAUUGUUACGCGAUUCUUUUAAUGCUGAUUUUGACUACGAUUAUUAUCUUAACCUAAUCAAUUAACCUGUACGUUUCAUUAUAUAAAACUACUUAAAAAACGAUAUUGCGUGAACAACAUGUAUAUUUUCUGUAAAAGGAAUAAAGUUCUUGACAAAUCAUGGGAAUAUUUCUCAAUCCAUAAUUAUUUAAAUGUAAGGUAAACAUAUUUGCAUAGAGUGAAUCUAAAGUCCUUGCAGAAUAGUUCAUUCACAUGCGCAUACCUUAACACAAAAUUCCAUAAACAAGCACAUGUAGCAACACUUGCUUUUCAACAUUUUUCAUUUCAUCGUCAGACACUUCACGCAUAAGCCUUUGAAAUGAAAAAUAUUUACAACGUAUAGUGUAUAUAGAUAAAAAUUCAGUUCUGUAUUAAUUCACAUAAAAUAGGGUACUGAAACUCUGAAUAAAACAUGCAGAACUAGGUUGUGUGCAUAGUUACAUGUAAGUUACGUGCAAGUCGCGAUUAUAUAAUGUAGGCAUAGAUCAACUGAGCUGGGAGCAUAAAUUCAUACACGUAUUACCGCUUUAUAGUAAUUGUCUUUCAUCAUUUGUUAGUAUCAUUCCAUGAGCUCUGUGAAUGCUUGAUUAAUUCAUACAAAAUCUGGAUACGAUAGAGAUGAAAAAGAAAAUGUGUAUCUUUUACUCAUACAUAUCAAUUGCUGUGCGACAGUUUGCUUCCUUCACUGUGUACAUUUAAUACUAAAUAAAGCUAAGCGUGUGGAUUCUGGCAUUUACCGGUACAUGAAUGUGACAUUACUUUAGCAACAUUGAAAAGGUGUAGUACUGUUGUUGUUUUUACCAGCAGUUCUGAUUGUGAAGCUAUCACAGAUGUAUAAAAUAGAGAAAUGGAUACUAGAUCAUAUAUGUUUAUGCAGAAACAUGAUUUUCUGUUGGUCCGCUAUCUGAUAGACUGGGCUUUGUAUAUAUUCCCGCUAGGUAAAUAAUUGCAAUCUGAUAUUUCACUGAGGGUGUCAGAUAGAUGACAAAGGUAAUAUGAGGGGUUGACCGUUUUGACACUAUGUAAUAGAAGUGAGGGGUUGACCGUUUUGACACUAUGUAAUAGAAGUUGUGAUCCACAACUAAAUUUUGAUUAUUUCCCAGGUUCUUUAAAAUUUGAAUUAUAUUGGUCUUAUUUACGAGUACGCUGAUAUCUCCCGUAUUUCACCCUUUGAGUCAGCCGUAAUAAUAGCACAGUUCAACAGACAAAGACGUUUAUUAACAACACACAUAAAGAUAGUUAAAAGGUUCAACAAUGAUACAAAAGUGGUAAGGAAAAAUCGUGUCUAUAACUAUAAAGUAUAUAUAACGAGCUAUAACUGUGUUGGGAUGCCAACACAAAUGUCUCCGAACACCUCCCCAUGUCAGAAAUGGUUUUUGAUGCCAGAUAUGCACCCAGGAUCCUCAAAAAACCCUAGAAACUAAAUUUGGUUGAAAUCCGACGGACUUGAUAUUUGGCUGCCAUUUUCUUCAAUGGCGGCCAUUUUGAAACAUUCCAAAAUUGAUUGGAAGGAAAUACUGAUGCUAGAAAUGAAUUGUGGACCCUCAAUUUACCCCAAAACCCAAAUGUUGUAGAGAUUUUAACACUUUCAAAUAUUUCGGUAUAUGGCGGCCAUUUUGAAAAUGGCAGCUCCAAAAAAAAUUUUGAUGCUGGAAAUGGACUUGGGGUCACUAAGUUACCCUAGAAAUGGAAUUUGGUUGAAAUCCGACAACCUUGAGUUUUUGACGUUUUUUGGCCGCCAUCUUGAAACGGCGGCCAUUUUGAAAAUUUGAAAAGUUGAAUGCACCCCUCCUAGUGACCCCCUAUCAGCUCACAAAGUUUGAAGUGGAUCUGUCAAAGCACUUUCACAAAAUCGGUCGGACAAAUUUCUCACUAAA
Ostrea edulis (European flat oyster) is the source of this 3320-nucleotide long non-coding RNA. RefSeq lists it as uncharacterized. The record is from RefSeq and is a predicted model, not a curated record. The transcript has 2 exons. Lineage: Eukaryota; Metazoa; Mollusca; Bivalvia; Ostreida; Ostreidae.